AGAGUUUGAUCCUGGCUCAGGACAAACGCUGGCGGCGUGCGUAACACAUGCAAGUCGAGCGAGGCAGCCCUUCGGGACUGCCGAGCGGCGGACGGGUGAGUAACACGUGAGUGACCAACGCUCUAGUGGGGGAUACCGGUGGGAACUAUCGUUAAUCCCGCAUACGGUGCGCGUUUUGCGCAAGAAAGCAGCAAUGCGCU
RNAcentral lists this ribosomal RNA (200 nucleotides) under uncultured bacterium. RNAcentral describes it as "partial 16S ribosomal RNA". It matches the Rfam family "Bacterial small subunit ribosomal RNA", at positions 8 to 219 of the family's 1533-position model. The record is from RNAcentral.